UGGGGGAUAUUGCACAAUGGGCGAAAGCCUGAUGCAGCGACGCCGCGUGGGGGAUGAAGGCCUUCGGGUUGUAAACUUCUUUUGCUCUGAACAAGGCAUGCUAAUGGGUGUGUUGAGUGUAGGGGUUGAUUAGCGCCGGCUAACUACGUGCCAGCAGCCGCGGUAAUACGUAGGGCGCGAGCGUUGUCCGGAAUUAUUGGGCGUAAAGGGCUUGUAGGUGGCUGGUUGCGUCUGUCGUGAAAGCUCAUGGCUUAACUGUGGGUUUGCGGUGGGUACGGGCUGGCUUGAGUGCAGUAGGGGAGGCUGGAAUUCCUGGUGUAGCGGUGGAAUGCGCAGAUAUCAGGAGGAAUACCGGUAGCGAAGGCGGGGCUCUGGGCUGUUACUGACACUGAGGAGCGAAAGCAUGGGGAGCGAACAGG
RNAcentral lists this ribosomal RNA (419 nucleotides) under bacterium. RNAcentral describes it as "partial 16S ribosomal RNA". It matches the Rfam family "Bacterial small subunit ribosomal RNA", at positions 355 to 776 of the family's 1533-position model. The record is from RNAcentral.